GUACUCCAUGCUGGGCAACAGAUUGGAACAAUACAGAGAAGACUGGCAUGGCCCCUGAGCAAGGAUGACACACAAAUUCAUGAAGCAUUCCGUAUUUUU
RNAcentral lists this small nuclear RNA (99 nucleotides) under Saimiri boliviensis boliviensis (Bolivian squirrel monkey). Lineage: Eukaryota; Metazoa; Chordata; Mammalia; Primates; Cebidae. The record is from RNAcentral.